AUCCAGCUGACGAGUCCCAAAUAGAAUGAAACGCGGGUCCUCGACUGCAU
Non-coding RNA from Schistosoma margrebowiei, 50 nucleotides. The record is from Rfam. NCBI's taxonomy places the organism in Eukaryota, Metazoa, Platyhelminthes, Trematoda, Strigeidida, Schistosomatidae.